GGAGCUGCUGGUGGUUUAUCUUUGCACGUUCGAUGAGUCCGCAGCCUGUUCCGCUCUGCUGGAUGUAAACACUGUCACAGGAAGCAGAUACCCAUCGAACUCACAGGGAGAACACGAGUGGCCUCUUCACGUGGCUCGACUUUAUCACAGCUCGUAUCACUUUCGCUCCACAGUCGCUGGUCAAGCAGACUGCAGUACUGACCAUCACUUCGCGGGGGUGCUCUUCACUGACUACAUUUUCCAUUUCUACAGACACUGCACAAUACACACCGACAGACAGAUUCCUAAAAAUAUCACACUUUAAUAUAUUAAAUACAGAUGUUUGAAAUAUUCUCACAAAGAUGAUCGUCAGAGAAAUCGUUUUUUAAAAGAUGUGUUUUUUAUUAUGACAUAAAUCAUUUGUGCUGAAAUAAUAAACUGUCACUGCUGAAGUGUUUAGAUUUUACAAUCUUCUUUAAUUCACAGUUUUUUGUUUCCUGCGUCGUUAAUGUUCAGCAAGUCGAG
Non-coding RNA from Paralichthys olivaceus (Japanese flounder), 504 nucleotides. NCBI's taxonomy places the organism in Eukaryota, Metazoa, Chordata, Actinopteri, Pleuronectiformes, Paralichthyidae. The record is from RefSeq and is a predicted model, not a curated record.